AAGAAGCUCAACAGGUCGUCUUUUCUGUCAACUCCGGGAAAGAGUAGAAAAGACGGAAGCUGUUGUUUGUGUAUAACGCUUGAAUCGAUCAUCAAAUUCAAAACUGAUUCUUCUACAAUCUACUAGUAUAGUAUAUGAUGGUGCUGUCACAGCUUCACGGAGCAUUCAAGGGUACGGUGGAGAGAAUCACUAGCCCUCGUACCGUCUCUGCUUUCAAAGAAAAAGGUGUUCUCAGCGUCAGCGAAUUCGUCAUAGCUGGAGAUAAUCUCGUCUCCAAAUGCCCUACCUGGUCUUGGGAAUCAGGUGAGCCUAGUAAGAGGAAGUCUUAUUUACCAGCCGACAAGCAAUUUUUGAUAACUAGAAAUGUUCCUUGUCUGAGAAGAGCUGCAUCAAUAGAGGAAGAAUAUGAGGCUGCUGGAGGUGAAGUUCUUCUUGAUAAUGAAGAUAAUGAUGGUUGGCUGGCAACUCAUGGCAAACCAAAAGAAAACAAUGGUGCUGAGGAUGAUAAUUUGCCAUCUAUAGACGCAUCAGAAAUCAACAAGAAGAACACUAUCCAGUCAAUCCCAUCAUACUUUGGAGGCGAGGAAGAGGAGGACAUACCUGACAUGGGAGAUUAUGAGGAAGCUGACAAUCUUAUAGAAACAGACCCUGCCACCCUUCAGACUACAUAUCUUGUGGCCAAUGAGCCUGAUGAUGACAACAUUCUAAGAACACGAACCUAUGAUGUCAGCAUCACGUAUGACAAAUAUUAUCAAACACCUCGUGUGUGGCUCACUGGAUAUGAUGAGUCAAGGAUGCUUUUGCAACCAGAACUCGUACUUGAAGAUGUCAGUCAAGACCAUGCACGCAAGACGGUGACCAUUGAAGACCAUCCACAUCUUCCAGGGAAACAUGCUUCUGUGCAUCCUUGCCGACAUGGGGCUGUGAUGAAGAAAAUUAUUGAUGUUUUGAUGUUGAGAGGAGUUGAACCCGAAGUUGACAAGUAUCUUUUCCUGUUCUUGAAGUUUGUGGCUUCGGUUAUUCCAACAAUUGAAUAUGAUUACACCAUGGACUUUGAUCUUGGUAGCAGUAGCACCUGAUUUGCUGUCAACUUCCUUCGGUCAGUAACAGUGGUAAAAUUAUUUUUUAGCCUAACUAGCAAAGAUGAUAUGGAUGUUGUAUUUUGUUUUUUCAGAUUGAUGCUGGCAUAUAACAUGUCAACCAGUCAAAUACUCUAAUGGCAAUACCUAUUUAUAAAUUGUACAGUAUUUAUAAAUGUUCUUCUAGAAAUGUGGAGCAUGCAUGAUGAAUCGUCAGCAUGCCUUGUUUAUUUUGUAUAUUAACAAAGAAUAAAGGUUAUUCAAGUUUGCACUUUGCACGAUCCACUGCAAGGCUGAAAUUGUUUAUUUAAGUUAAAG
RNAcentral lists this unclassified non-coding RNA (1397 nucleotides) under Hevea brasiliensis (rubber tree). The record is from RNAcentral. Lineage: Eukaryota; Viridiplantae; Streptophyta; Magnoliopsida; Malpighiales; Euphorbiaceae.